AUUAAUGCUGACGGCGUGCCUAAUCUAUGUAAGUUGAUGCUUUGCGUAGCAAUACAAAAAGCAUGGCAGACGAGUGAGUAACGCGUAGGAAUCUACCCUUAAGAUGGGAAUAACCCCGGGAAACUGGGGAUAAUACCCGAUGUGAUCGCAAGAUUAAAGAAGCAAUUCGCUUAAGGAUGAGCCUGCGUCCUAUCAGCUAGUUGGCGGGGUAAAAGCCCACCAAGGCUAUGACGGGUAGGGGGCGUGAGAGCGUGAACCCCCACGAUGGCACUGAGAUACGGGCCAUACACCUACGGGUGGCAGCAAGUAGGAAUAUUGCACAAUGGAUCAAUUUUUGAUCUGAUGCAGCGACGCCGUGUGAAGGAAGAAGGCUUUCGGGUUGUAAACUUAUUUUAAAAAGGAGCGGCAAACUUCGU
This 416-nucleotide ribosomal RNA is filed under the name uncultured bacterium. RNAcentral describes it as "bacterial SSU rRNA". It matches the Rfam family "Bacterial small subunit ribosomal RNA", at positions 29 to 506 of the family's 1533-position model. The record is from RNAcentral.